UGAUGAUGUCAGAGACUUAGGAAAAUGAAGGAAUGCAUGAAGCAAAUGAGUCCCUGGUGAAACAAAGCGCUCCGAUAUAUUUAUGAUGCAUGCCUUGAACACAACCAUGAGCUUGAGUUCUCUAAUUAACAUCUUAUUUGGUUAAAGGUGAAAUUUUAUAGAGAUUAUAACAUUUAAAUAUGAUGCAAGUUGAAUUAUGAAAGUAAUGAGUGUUGGAGGAUAAUUGAAAAGAUAAAUUUGAAGAAGUUAUUAUUACGGAGAAAGUUGGAGAAGAGGAAAAACAUCAUCAAUACGGGGGCUCGAUAAGGAAGACAUCCUCUUUCUUUCUCUCUCUUAAUAGACACCAACAUGGUGGCCAUGUGAUAGAUACGUGGUUG
Molecule: long non-coding RNA, 377 nt
Filed under: Carica papaya (papaya)
Lineage: Eukaryota; Viridiplantae; Streptophyta; Magnoliopsida; Brassicales; Caricaceae
Description: long non-coding RNA (CPAP_LNC006034)
Source: RNAcentral